GACACUUUGGCCGAGUGGUUAAGGCGAUGCCCUGCUAUCGAUGCGUUAGCUGCCAGGCAUUACAUUCGUGUGCGCAGGUUCGAAUCCUGCAGGCGUCG
This is a non-coding RNA of Claviceps citrina, 98 nucleotides long. The record is from the annotation of a GenBank genome assembly. Lineage: Eukaryota; Fungi; Ascomycota; Sordariomycetes; Hypocreales; Clavicipitaceae.